CCGAGUUUUACAACUCCCAAACCCCUUGUGAACAUACCACUUGUUGCCUCGGCGGAUCAGCCCGCUCCCGGUAAAACGGGACGGCCCGCCAGAGGACCCCUAAACUCUGUUUCUAUAUGUAAACUUCUGAGUAAAACCAUAAAUAAAUCA
Molecule: unclassified non-coding RNA, 150 nt
Filed under: soil metagenome
Description: partial internal transcribed spacer 1
Source: RNAcentral